RNAcentral lists this ribosomal RNA (503 nucleotides) under uncultured bacterium. RNAcentral describes it as "partial 16S ribosomal RNA". It matches the Rfam family "Bacterial small subunit ribosomal RNA", at positions 30 to 523 of the family's 1533-position model. The record is from RNAcentral.
AUUGAACGCUGGCGGCAGGCUUAACACAUGCAAGUCGAGCGGGGUGAUGGUGCUUGCACUAUCACUUAGCGGCGGACGGGUGAGUAAUGCUUAGGAAUCUGCCUAUUAGUGGGGGACAACAUCUCGAAAGGGAUGCUAAUACCGCAUACGUCCUACGGGAGAAAGCAGGGGAUCACUUGUGACCUUGCGCUAAUAGAUGAGCCUAAGUCGGAUUAGCUAGUUGGUGGGGUAAAGGCCUACCAAGGCGACGAUCUGUAGCGGGUCUGAGAGGCUGAUCCGCCCCACUGGGACUGAGACACGGCCCAGACUCCUACGCGAGGCAGCAGUGGGGAAUAUUGGCCAAUGGGGGGAACCCUGAUCCAGCCAUGCCGCGUGUGUGAAGAAGGCCUUAUGGUUGUAAAGCACUUUAAGCGAGGAGGAGGCUCUUUUGGUUAAUACCCAAGAUGAGUGGACGUUACUCGCAGAAUAAGCACCGGCUAACUCUGUGCCAGCAGCCGCAGUAA